This 380-nucleotide ribosomal RNA is filed under the name uncultured eukaryote. RNAcentral's name for it is "partial 18S ribosomal RNA". It matches the Rfam family "Eukaryotic small subunit ribosomal RNA", at positions 592 to 976 of the family's 1831-position model. The record is from RNAcentral.
CAAUAGCGUAUAUUAAAGUUGUUGCAGUUAAAAAGCUCGUAGUUGGAUUUGUGGCGUACGGUGUGUUCCGGGCACUUGUUGUCUGAGUAACCUGCUGUUGCCAUCCUUGGGUGGAACCUGUGUGGCAUUAGGUUGUCGUGUAGGGGAUGCCCAUCAUUUACUGUGAAAAAAUUAGAGUGUUCAAAGCAGGCUUAUGCCGUUGAAUAUAUUAGCAUGGAAUAAUGAGAUAGGACUUUUUUGCUAUUUUGUUGGUUUGCGCAAAGAGGUAAUGAUUAAUAGGGACAGUUGGGGGUAUUCGUAUUCCAUUGUCAGAGGUGAAAUUCUUGGAUUUUUGGAAGACGAACUACUGCGAAAGCAUUUACCAAGGAUGUUUUCAUUAA